CGGAAUUACUGGGCGUAAAGGGCAUGUAGGCAGUCCGUUAAGCGGAGUGUGAAAGACCACGGCUCAACUGUGGGAACGCGCUCCGAACUGGCGGACUAGAAUCUAGGAGAAGGUAGUGGAAUUUCCCGUGUAGCGGUGGAAUGCAUAGAUAUGGGAAGGAACACCUAAGGCGAAGGCAGCUACCUAUGCUAAGAUUGACGCUGAGGUGCGAAAGUGUGGGGAUCAAAUAGGAUUAGAUACCCCGGUAGUC
RNAcentral lists this ribosomal RNA (250 nucleotides) under Escherichia coli. RNAcentral describes it as "partial 16S ribosomal RNA". It matches the Rfam family "Bacterial small subunit ribosomal RNA", at positions 546 to 795 of the family's 1533-position model. The record is from RNAcentral. Lineage: Bacteria; Pseudomonadati; Pseudomonadota; Gammaproteobacteria; Enterobacterales; Enterobacteriaceae.